CCGAGUUCUCGCCCUCGCGGGUAGACCUCCCACCCACUGUUAUCACUACCGUCGUUGCUUUGGCGGGCCGCCAGGCCCGGCCUGGCCGCCGGCACAGCCGGUGUGCGCCCGCCAGAGGCCCACAAACACUGAAUGCGUGUCGUCCGAGUCCUACUUUAAUAGUCA
Molecule: unclassified non-coding RNA, 165 nt
Filed under: uncultured Myxotrichaceae
Lineage: Eukaryota; Fungi; Ascomycota; Leotiomycetes; Myxotrichaceae
Description: sequence contains ITS1
Source: RNAcentral